GACGAACGCUGGCGGCGUGCUUAACACAUGCAAGUCGAACGGAAAGGCCCUGCUUUUGUGGGGUGCUCGAGUGGCGAACGGGGGAGUAACACGUGAGUAACCUGCCCUUGACUUUGGGAUAACUUCAGGAAACUGGGGCUAAUACCGGAUAGGAGCUCCUGCUGCAUGGUGGGGGUUGGAAAGUUUCGGCGGUUGGGGAUGGACUCGCGGCUUAUCGGCUUGUUGGUGGGGUAGUGGCUUACCAAGGCUUUGACGGGUAGCCGGCCUGAGAGGGUGACCGGCCACAUUGGGACUGAGAUACGGCCCAGACUCCUACGGGGGGCAGCAGUGGGGAAUAUUGCACAAUGGGCGGAAGCCUGAUGCAGCAACGCUGCGUGCGGGAUGACGGCCUUCGGGUUGUAAACCGCUUCCGCCUGUGACGAAGCGUGAGUGACGGUAAUGGGUAAAGAAGCACCGGCUAACUACGUG
RNAcentral lists this ribosomal RNA (468 nucleotides) under uncultured bacterium. RNAcentral's name for it is "partial 16S ribosomal RNA". It matches the Rfam family "Bacterial small subunit ribosomal RNA", at positions 28 to 507 of the family's 1533-position model. The record is from RNAcentral.